This 45-nucleotide non-coding RNA is filed under the name Schistosoma mansoni. Lineage: Eukaryota; Metazoa; Platyhelminthes; Trematoda; Strigeidida; Schistosomatidae. The record is from RNAcentral.
AUCCAGUUGAUGGGUCCCAAAGAGGACGAAACGCGCGUCCUCGAU